This 497-nucleotide ribosomal RNA is filed under the name uncultured bacterium. RNAcentral's name for it is "partial 16S ribosomal RNA". It matches the Rfam family "Bacterial small subunit ribosomal RNA", at positions 28 to 507 of the family's 1533-position model. The record is from RNAcentral.
GAUGAACGCUGGCGGCGUGCCUAAUACAUGCAAGUCGAGCGAACGGACGAGAAGCUUGCUUCUCUGAUGUUAGCGGCGGACGGGUGAGUAACACGUGGAUAACCUACCUAUAAGACUGGGAUAACUUCGGGAAACCGUAGCUAAUACCGGAUAAUAUUUUGAACCGCAUGGUUCAAAAGUGAAAGACGGUCUUGCUGUCACUUAUAGAUGGAUCCGCGCUGCAUUAGCUAGUUGGUAAGGUAACGGCUUACCAAGGCAACGAUGCAUAGCCGACCUGAGAGGGUGAUCGGCCACACUGGAACUGAGACACGGUCCAGACUCCUACGGGAGGCAGCAGUAGGGAAUCUUCCGCAAUGGGCGAAAGCCUGACGGAGCAACGCCGCGUGAGUGAUGAAGGUCUUCGGAUCGUAAAACUCUGUUAUUAAGGAAGAACAUAUGUGUAAGUAACUGUGCACAUCUUGACGGUACCUAAUCAGAAAGCCACGGCUAACUACGUG